RNAcentral lists this ribosomal RNA (253 nucleotides) under uncultured bacterium. RNAcentral's name for it is "partial 16S ribosomal RNA". It matches the Rfam family "Bacterial small subunit ribosomal RNA", at positions 524 to 776 of the family's 1533-position model. The record is from RNAcentral.
CACGUAGGGUGCGAGCGUUGUCCGGAAUUAUUGGGCGUAAAGAGCUCGUAGGCGGUUUGUCGCGUCUGCUGUGAAAAUCCAGGGCUUAACCCUGGACCUGCAGUGGGUACGGGCAGACUGGAGUGCGGUAGGGGAGAUCGGAAUUCCUGGUGUAGCGGUGAAAUGCGCAGAUAUCAGGAGGAACACCGGUGGCGAAGGCGGAUCUCUGGGCCGUAACUGACGCUGAGACGCGAAAGCGUGGGGAGCAAACAGG